UUAAUUGAAACCAAACAGAGGUAUAUCACUGUUAAUGAUAAAACUGAGAAUUUUCUCCAAUUAAA
Molecule: transfer RNA, 65 nt
Filed under: Sitophilus granarius (granary weevil)
Lineage: Eukaryota; Metazoa; Arthropoda; Insecta; Coleoptera; Curculionidae
Description: tRNA-Asn
Source: RNAcentral